AUUGAACGCUGGCGGCAUGCUUUACACAUGCAAGUCGAACGGCAGCGCGGGCUUCGGCCUGGCGGCUAGUGGCGAACGGGUGAGUAAUGCAUCGGAACGUGCCCAGUGGUGGGGGAUAGCCCGGCGAAAGCCGGAUUAAUACCGCAUACGACCUGAGGGUGAAAGCGGGGGUCCGAAAGGCCUCGCGCUAUUGGAGCGGCCGAUGUCGGGUUAGCUAGUUGGUGGGGUAAAGGCUUACCAAGGCGACGAUCCGUAGCUGGUCUGAGAGGACGACCAGCCACACUGGGACUGAGACACGGCCCAGACUCCUACGGGAGGCAGCAGUGGGGAAUUUUGGACAAUGGGGGCAACCCUGAUCCAGCCAUGCCGCGUGCGGGAAGAAGGCCUUCGGGUUGUAAACCGCUUUUGUUCGGGAAGAAAUCCUCUGGGCUAAUACCCCGGGGGGAUGACGGUACCGGAAGAAUAAGCACCGGCUAACUACGUG
Molecule: ribosomal RNA, 484 nt
Filed under: uncultured bacterium
Lineage: Bacteria
Description: partial 16S ribosomal RNA
Rfam family: Bacterial small subunit ribosomal RNA
Source: RNAcentral